Molecule: long non-coding RNA, 629 nt
Organism: Orbicella faveolata
Lineage: Eukaryota; Metazoa; Cnidaria; Anthozoa; Scleractinia; Merulinidae
Source: RefSeq, a predicted model, not a curated record
UUUCAGACAUGUUUGUAUUUCAAAGCAGAAGCAAAUUUGGCAGUUGUGUUUUCUUGCUGUCCCCUGCAGGCUUCCAGAUCUUGUAGAAUAUAUUGUGGAGCCUCUUCUUACUGGUUUGCGUGAUAAUAGUUCUUAUGUGCGUCGUUGUGCAGUUAUGGGAUGUGUGAAAUUAUACCAUCUUAUUCCUGACUUUGUUGAAGAUAAUGGAAUCAUAGAUAAACUUUGCAGUCUGUUAACAGACCCAGAUGUUCAGGUAGUGUGCAACUGCAUCGCAGCUUUGGAUGAAAUCCUUGCAGCCGAGGGUGGAUUACUAGUGAAUAAAAAGCUUGCUCAUAACUUAUUAAGGAGGUAAACACGAUGCUACUUAAGAUAUUGUUGACACAAGUUAGUCACCUAAACAACUGACAAUACAUUAAUAAAAUUUAAAGAAAAUGUAACUACACUUCUGAGAGUUGAACCCUUUGGGCUGUUUCACCAACAUUAGCCAUUACAAGAAAAAGACUUCCAAGAAAACAAUCACAAACUCUAUCAAGGGUUGCUUAAUAGUUUAAAAGUUUGUGUACUAAUCUAUUAGGGAGUUGGCAAACCCAAUGUAUAGAAGUCUUAAUUUUCUUCAUUUUUUUUAAACU